This 484-nucleotide ribosomal RNA is filed under the name uncultured bacterium. RNAcentral describes it as "partial 16S ribosomal RNA". It matches the Rfam family "Bacterial small subunit ribosomal RNA", at positions 30 to 507 of the family's 1533-position model. The record is from RNAcentral.
AUUGAACGCUGGCGGCAGGCCUAACACAUGCAAGUCGAGCGGAUGAAGGGAGCUUGCUCCUGGAUUCAGCGGCGGACGGGUGAGUAAUGCAUAGGAAUCUGCCUGGCAGUGGGGGAUAACGUCCGGAAACGGGCGCUAAUACCGCAUACGUCCUGAUGUAGAACGUGGGGGAUCUUCGGACCUCACGCUAUCAGAUGAGCCUAGGUCGGAUUAGCUAGUUGGUGGGGUAAAGGCCUACCAAGGCGACGAUCCGUAACUGGUCUGAGAGGAUGAUCAGUCACACUGGAACUGAGACACGGUCCAGACUCCUACGGGAGGCAGCAGUAGGGAAUAUUGGACAAUGGGCGAAAGCCUGAUGCAGCCAUGCCGCGUGUGUGAAGAAGGUCUUCGGAUUGUAAAGCACUUUAAGUUGGGAGGAAGGGCAGUAAGUUUAUACCUGGCUGUUUUGACGGUACCAACAGAAUAAGCACCGGCUAACUACGUG